Acinonyx jubatus (cheetah) is the source of this 867-nucleotide long non-coding RNA. RefSeq lists it as uncharacterized. Lineage: Eukaryota; Metazoa; Chordata; Mammalia; Carnivora; Felidae. The transcript has 3 exons. The record is from RefSeq and is a predicted model, not a curated record.
UGAGUUCUGAUCUCAAUGGAUUCUAAGUAGGAGAGUUGCUUGGUGUGCUGUGUCACUGCCUAGAACACACUGUCCUGAUUGAUGAUGAACUCUUUUAUAUGGAAGAUGCAAAACUCUUUUCAUGUUCUUGGUAACAUGAAAUGUUUUUCUCUGGCUGACCAUUAUUCCUUUUACCUCUUGUAGUAAGAAGUACUCAUUAUGAUGCUCUGAUGUGUGACUAAAUCGUCUGGUAAAUAUCAUUGGAAUAAUAUAUAUUUUCAGUUGUAACAAAAGCAAUUGUAAUCCAGAUGCAGUUGGAAAAGCUCUUCCUCUUAAGAACAAGUUUCUUCAUGAGUGAAAUAAAGACACCAAAGACACCUAUCUCCUAAGAUUUUUUCGAAGAGUUGGUGACUCGAAGCCUUCAGAUGAAAGCUCAGUAUGUGAGGACUACUAGUUGGCAUUCUCUGCAGGAGACUAGCCUCACACAGGGGUGACCCUGUGAUGCAGGAAAGGCUAUUUAAUGCCCUGGCGAAGUGGUUGAGGGACCAAGAUUUCAUUAUGCUUCCGGGAUCAGAGUGGUGAUCCAGCAUCCCUGAUUUAGAGCCACUUAGGGCUCCAACAGCUCCACCCCGGAGUUCAAGAGGAAAAUAUUCCUGCAUGGUCUCUGCCUGAUCUGAAAAAGGCACAGCUUCCCGAUGUUCCGCCUGGGAGAUGGUUCAGUCUUCAGAAAUUGCCAGAGAAGCCUGUCCAUCUGCUGGGAUGCCUGGCUUUCUGGAACGGACGAGAAGGAGUUAGACUUUUAAUCGGAGUAAGUUGAGGAUUUUCUGUUUGUAACUAAAAACCGCCGUUUAAUUCAAAAUAAAAAAGACACAUGCUGUGGCAGGUAGA